This 301-nucleotide ribosomal RNA is filed under the name uncultured bacterium. RNAcentral describes it as "partial 16S ribosomal RNA". It matches the Rfam family "Bacterial small subunit ribosomal RNA", at positions 509 to 807 of the family's 1533-position model. The record is from RNAcentral.
CAGCAGCCACGGGAAUACGAAGGGGGCUAGCGUUGUUCGGAUUUACUGGGCGUAAAGGGCGCGUAGGCGGGCGAAUAAGUCAGGGGUGAAAUCCCAAGGCUCAACCUUGGAACUGCCUUUGAUACUGUUUGUCUUGAGUUCGAGAGAGGUAAGUGGAACUGCGAGUGUAGAGGUGAAAUUCGUAGAUAUUCGCAAGAACACCAGUGGCGAAGGCGGCUUACUGGCUCGAAACUGACGCUGAGGCGCGAAAGCGUGGGGAGCAAACAGGAUUAGAUACCCCGGUAGUCCCUGUCUCUUAUAC